GACGAACGCGGCGGCGUGCUUAACACAUGCAAGUCGAACGAUGAAGCCUAGCUUGCUAGGUGGAUUAGUGGCGAACGGGUGAGUAAUACGUGAGUAACCUACCUUUAACUCUGGGAUAAGCCUGGGAAACUGGGUCUAAUACCGGAUACGACCAAUCUCCGCAUGGGGUGUUGGUGGAAAGCGUUAUGUAGUGGUUAUAGAUGGGCUCACGGCCUAUCAGCUUGUUGGUGAGGUAACGGCCCACCAAGGCGACGACGGGUAGCCGGCCUGAGAGGGUGACCGGCCACACUGGGACUGAGACACGGCCCAGACUCCUACGGGAGGCAGCAGUGGGGAAUAUUGCACAAUGGGCGCAAGCCUGAUGCAGCGACGCCGCGUGAGGGAUGACGGCCUUCGGGUUGUAAACCUCUGUUAGCAGGGAAGAAGAGAGAUUGACGGUACCUGCAGAGAAAGCGCCGGCUAACUACGUGCCAGCAGCCGCGGUAAUACGUAGGGCGCGAGCGUUGUCCGGAAUUAUUGGGCGUAAAGAGCUUGUAGGCGGUUUGUCGCGUCUGCUGUGAAAGGCCGGAGCUUAACUCCGUGUAUUGCAGUGGGUACGGGCAGACUAGAGUGCAGUAGGGGAGACUGGAAUUCCUGGUGUAGCGGUGGAAUGCGCAGAUAUCAGGAGGAACACCGAUGGCGAAGGCAGGUCUCUGGGCUGUAACUGACGCUGAGAAGCGAAAGCAUGGGGAGCGAACAGG
RNAcentral lists this ribosomal RNA (740 nucleotides) under Rothia mucilaginosa. Its description in RNAcentral is "bacterial SSU rRNA". It matches the Rfam family "Bacterial small subunit ribosomal RNA", at positions 28 to 776 of the family's 1533-position model. Lineage: Bacteria; Bacillati; Actinomycetota; Actinomycetes; Micrococcales; Micrococcaceae. The record is from RNAcentral.